RNAcentral lists this small RNA (166 nucleotides) under Methylobacterium nodulans ORS 2060. RNAcentral describes it as "caulobacter sRNA CC2171". It matches the Rfam family "caulobacter sRNA CC2171". Lineage: Bacteria; Pseudomonadati; Pseudomonadota; Alphaproteobacteria; Hyphomicrobiales; Methylobacteriaceae. The record is from Rfam by way of RNAcentral.
CAACAACGGAAAGGAGGUGAUCCAGUGUCUCAUUGUCAUCAGCCGCGGUCGUCGGCGGACUUGGCCUGGAUCGUCGCCUCCGGCCUUUGCGCCUGAGCGCCGAUUGAGGAAGCCGCCGGACCGCGGUCCGGCAAUGGAAGGGCCGCUCCGGAAACGGAGCGGCCCU